This 298-nucleotide small RNA is filed under the name Oryza sativa Japonica Group (Japanese rice). RNAcentral describes it as "sRNA Os03g0452801". Lineage: Eukaryota; Viridiplantae; Streptophyta; Magnoliopsida; Poales; Poaceae. The record is from RNAcentral.
GGAGAAAGAAAAAUAUUGGAGGGAAUUUAAGGUUGAUUUAUUUGAUUAUUUCCAUAGCUGCUCCAUUGGAAGCCCGCGCUCUGCAGCAACAUCCUUGAACUGCCUCAUCAUUUGGGUCGCCUUGAUGGUAGCUCUUGCAUUGUUGAGGGGGUUCUUGCUCCUCAGCUGUUUCCCCAGAGCAUUUUCAACCCCAGCCAUCUCCAGCACGACCCUCACAGCUCCACCUGCAAUUACACCAGAUCCAGGGCAAGCAGGCCUCAACAUGACCCUGGCUGCUCCAUAGUCUGCAUCUGCUCUG